UACGGCGGCCAUAGCGGAGGGAAACGCCCGGUCCCAUCCGACCCCGGAGCUAAGCCCUCACGCCGAUGGUAUGCCCUCGACACUUGGGGUGGGAGAGUAGGACACCGCCGAAC
Molecule: ribosomal RNA, 113 nt
Filed under: Rhodococcus (subgen. Prescottella) equi
Lineage: Bacteria; Bacillati; Actinomycetota; Actinomycetes; Mycobacteriales; Nocardiaceae
Source: RNAcentral